Molecule: ribosomal RNA, 1394 nt
Filed under: uncultured bacterium
Lineage: Bacteria
Description: 16S ribosomal RNA
Rfam family: Bacterial small subunit ribosomal RNA
Source: RNAcentral
CGGCGAACGGGUGCGUAACACGUGAACAACUUGCCUUUAACUGAGGGAUAACCAGUGGAAACGCUGACUAAUACCUCAUAACAAUAGAUUACUCAUGUAGUUUAUUUGAAAGAUUCGUUGGUUAAAGAUAGGUUCGCGUCCCAUUAGCUAGUUGGUAAGGUAACGGCUUACCAAGGCAACGAUGGGUAGGGGUUCUGAGAGGAAGGUCCCCCACACUGGAACUGAGACACGGUCCAGACUCCUACGGGAGGCAGCAGUGAGGAAUAUUGGUCAAUGGACGGAAGUCUGAACCAGCCAUGCCGCGUGCAGGAAUAAUGCCCUAUGGGUUGUAAACUGCUUUUGAUGCAGAGCAAUAAUACCUACGUGUAGGUAGAUGAGAGUAUGUGUCGAAUAAGCACCGGCUAACUCCGUGCCAGCAGCCGCGGUAAUACGGAGGGUGCAAGCGUUAUCCGGAAUUAUUGGGUUUAAAGGGUGCGUAGGCUGUACGGUAAGUCAGAGGUGAAAUGCCUGUGCCUAACAGAGGAAUUGCCUUUGAUACUGUCGUGCUUGAGUACUAGUGCCGUGGGAGGAAUGUGUAGUGUAGCGGUGAAAUGCAUAGAUAUUACACAGAACACCGAUUGNCGAAGGCAUCUCACGAACUAGAAACUGACGCUGAUGCACGAAAGCGUGGGUAUCGAACAGGAUUAGAUACCCUGGUAGUCCACGCAGUAAACGAUGAUAACUAACUGCUGGCGAUAUACCGUUCAGUGGCCAAGCGAAAGCGAUAAGUUAUCCACCUGGGGAGUACGGCCGCAAGGCUGAAACUCAAAGGAAUUGACGGGGGCCCGCACAAGCGGAGGAACAUGUGGUUUAAUUCGAUGAUACGCGAGGAACCUUACCCAGGCUCGAACGGCAUAGGAAUAUAUCAGAGAUGUUAUAGUCUUCGGAUCUAUGUCGAGGUGCUGCAUGGUUGUCGUCAGCUCGUGCCGUGAGGUGUCGGCUUAAGUGCCAUAACGAGCGCAACCCUUGUCUUUAGUUACCAGCAUGUAGUGAUGGGGACUCUAAAGAGACUGCCUCCGCAAGGUGAGAGGAAGGUGGGGAUGACGUCAAAUCAGCACGGCCCUUACGUCUGGGGCGACACACGUGUUACAAUGGUGGUUACAGAGGGAAGCUACUGUGUGAACAGAUGCAGAUCUAUAAAAAGCCACCUCAGUACGGAUUGGAGUCUGCAACUCGACUCCAUGAAGCUGGAUUCGCUAGUAAUCGCGCAUCAGCCAUGGCGCGGUGAAUACGUUCCCGGGCCUUGUACACACCGCCCGUCAAGCCAUGGAAGUCGCGGGCGCUUGAAGUUCGUCACCGCAAGGAGCGACCUAGGGCGAAAGUGAUAACUGGGGCUAAGUCGUAACAAGGUAGCC